This 467-nucleotide ribosomal RNA is filed under the name uncultured bacterium. Its description in RNAcentral is "partial 16S ribosomal RNA". It matches the Rfam family "Bacterial small subunit ribosomal RNA", at positions 29 to 507 of the family's 1533-position model. The record is from RNAcentral.
ACGAACGCUGGCGGCGUGCUUAACACAUGCAAGUCGAACGGAAAGGCCCUGCUUUUGUGGGGUGCUCGAGUGGCGAACGGGUGAGUAACACGUGAGUAACCUGCCCUUGACUUUGGGAUAACUUCAGGAAACUGGGGCUAAUACCGGAUAGGAGCUCCUGCUGCAUGGUGGGGGUUGGAAAGUUUCGGCGGUUGGGGAUGGACUCGCGGCUUAUCAGCUUGUUGGUGGGGUAGUGGCUUACCAAGGCUUUGACGGGUAGCCGGCCUGAGAGGGUGACCGGCCACAUUGGGACUGAGAUACGGCCCAGACUCCUACGGGAGGCAGCAGUGGGGAAUAUUGCACAAUGGGCGGAAGCCUGAUGCAGCAACGCCGCGUGCGGGAUGACGGCCUUCGCGUUGUAAACCGCUUUCGCCUGUGACGAAGCGUGAGUGACGGUAAUGGGUAAAGAAGCACCGGCUAACUACGUG